AGUGAACGCUGGCGGUAGGCCUAACACAUGCAAGUCGAACGGCAGCACAGUAAGAGCUUGCUCUUACGGGUGGCGAGUGGCGGACGAGGGAGGGAUACAUCGGAAUCUACUUUUUCGUGGGGGAUAACGUAGGGAAACUUACGCUAAUACCGCAUACGACCUACGGGUGAAAGCAGGGGAUCUUCGGCCCUUGCGCGAUUGAAUGAGCCGAUGUCGGAUUAGCUAGUUGGCGGGGUAAAGGCCUACCAAGGCGACGAUCCGUAGCUGGUCUGAGAGGAUGAUCAGCCACACUGGAACUGAGACACGGUCCAGACUCCUACGGGAGGCAGCAGUGGGGAAUAUUGGACAAUGGGCGCAAGCCUGAUCCAGCCAUACCGCGUGGGUGAAGAAGGCCUUCGGGUUGUAAAGCCCUUUUGUUUGGAAAGAAAAGCAGCAGGUUAAUACCCCGCUGUUCUGACGGUACCCAAAGAAUAAGCACCGGCUAACUUCGUG
Molecule: ribosomal RNA, 492 nt
Filed under: uncultured bacterium
Lineage: Bacteria
Description: partial 16S ribosomal RNA
Rfam family: Bacterial small subunit ribosomal RNA
Source: RNAcentral